RNAcentral lists this ribosomal RNA (668 nucleotides) under uncultured cyanobacterium. RNAcentral's name for it is "bacterial SSU rRNA". It matches the Rfam family "Bacterial small subunit ribosomal RNA", at positions 75 to 779 of the family's 1533-position model. Lineage: Bacteria; Bacillati; Cyanobacteriota. The record is from RNAcentral.
CGGAGUAUUCGGUACUUAGUGGCGGACGGGUGAGUAACGCGUGAGGAUCUGCCCUCAGGAGGGGGAAACGACUGGAAACGGUCGCUAAUACCCCAUAUGCCGAGAGGUGAAAUGUUUUUUCGCCUGAGGAUGAGCUCGCGUCAGAUUAGCUAGUUGGUGGGGUAACGGCCUACCAAAGCGACGAUCUGUAGCUGGUCUGAGAGGAUGAUCAGCCACACUGGGACUGAGACACGGCCCAGACUCCUACGGGAGGCAGCAGUGGGGAAUUUUCCGCAAUGGGCGAAAGCCUGACGGAGCAAGACCGGGGUGAGGGAUGACGGCCUAAUGGUUGUAAACCUCUUUUCUCUGGGAAGAUAAUGACGGUACCAGAGGAAUAAGCCUCGGCUAACUCCGUGCCAGCAGCCGCGGUAAUACGGAGGAGGCAAGCGUUAUCCGGAAUUAUUGGGCGUAAAGCGUCCGUAGGUGGUUAAUCAAGUCAGCUGUUAAAGAGCGGAGCUUAACUCCGUUAGAGCGGUUGAAACUUGAUUGACUAGAGUUUGGUAGGGGUCGAGGGAAUUCCCAGUGUAGCGGUGAAAUGCGUAGAUAUUGGGAAGAACACCGGUGGCGAAAGCGCUCGACUGGGGCUGAACUGACACUGAGGGACGAAAGCUAGGGGAGCGAAUGGGAUU